Mytilus trossulus (common blue mussel) is the source of this 455-nucleotide long non-coding RNA. RefSeq lists it as uncharacterized. NCBI's taxonomy places the organism in Eukaryota, Metazoa, Mollusca, Bivalvia, Mytilida, Mytilidae. The transcript has 5 exons. The record is from RefSeq and is a predicted model, not a curated record.
UUGUUUGUGGUUGUCCUUCUGGGUUUACAAGGAUACCAGCGGAUAGUGGCAAUUGUUAUUUCAAAGGUGACUUAUUUACGAAUUGGCAACGAGCACAGCUAAAAUGCAAAGGAAAGGAUGCAUACCUCUGGGAACCAAAUACUAGUGAAGAAGCAAAUGAUGUUAUAAGAGAGCUACUAGGAAACGGAAUUGAUUGGUUUUGGACAGGUGCUUCUGAUCAGGCUAACGAAGAUAUCAUACCUACUUUUGAACAAGGUUCUGGACUUCCGUUUAAUCUAUCAGCCAGAGGUGAUGGUCCAAGAUAUGACUGUGUUAGAUAUGAACAAGAGUUUGUUUUUAGAAGUUGUGAAUUUGGCGGGAAAUGUGUUUGUGAAAGGAGUUUUCCUUGCGAAACAACAGCACCAUAGAGUCAACGCAUAUAUAUAUCUCCACCAAUUAGUUACGUAUAAGAGAUA